GUCUUUUUGAUUAUAAUAUAAGGUCUAAUCUGCCCAUUGAUAUUUUAAAAGGCCGCAGUAUUCUGACUGUGCAAAGGUAGCAUAAUAAUUAGUUUUUUAAUUGAAAGCUGGAAUGAAUGAUUUGAUGAGAAAAAUACUGUCUCUCUAUUAUUAUAUAAAAUUUUAUUUUUAAGUAAAAAAGCUUAAAUCAUAUUAAAAGACGAGAAGACCCUAUAGAGUUUUAUAUAAUAAAAUAAUAUUAUUUUUUUUUUAUUUUUUUUUAUUAUUUAUAUAUAUUUUGUUGGGGUGACAGUUAAGUUUAUUAAACCUUUUUAUAAUAAAAACAAUAAUAAUUGGUUUAUUGAUCCUUUAAAAGAUUAUUAGAUUAAAUUACCUUAGGGAUAACAGCGUAAUUUUUUUGGAGAGUUCAUAUCUAUAAAAAAGUUUG
This 427-nucleotide ribosomal RNA is filed under the name Dimerometopus sp. JP-2014. RNAcentral's name for it is "partial 16S ribosomal RNA". Lineage: Eukaryota; Metazoa; Arthropoda; Insecta; Coleoptera; Staphylinidae. The record is from RNAcentral.